UCUGUAUAAUUACUUACCUGGUUCUCGUA
RNAcentral lists this non-coding RNA (29 nucleotides) under Rattus norvegicus (Norway rat). The record is from RNAcentral. Lineage: Eukaryota; Metazoa; Chordata; Mammalia; Rodentia; Muridae.